UGGGGAAUCUUCCGCAAUGGACGAAAGUCUGACGGAGCAACGCCGCGUGAGUGAAGAAGGUUUUCGGAUCGUAAAACUCUGUCUUUUGGGGCGAACGUGAGUAUGGUGAACAAUCAUAGUCAGUGACGGUACCAAAGGGGGAAGCCACGGCUAACUACGUGCCAGCAGCCGCGGUAAUACGUAGGUGGCAAGCGUUGUCCGGAAUUAUUGGGCGUAAAGAGCGCGUAGGCGGGAUAGUCAGUCUGUUGUAAAGUGCGGGGCUCAACCCCGUGAUGGCAAUGGAAACAGCUAUUCUUGAGUGCAGGAGAGGAAAGUGGAAUUCCCAGUGUAGCGGUGAAAUGCGUAGAUAUUGGGAGGAACACCAGUGGCGAAGGCGACUUUCUGGACUGUGUCUGACGCUGAGGCGCGAAAGCCAGGGGAGCGAACGGGAUUAGAUACCCCGGUAGUCCUGGCCGUAAACGAUGGGUACUAGGUGUGGGAGGUAUCGACCCCUUCCGUGCCGGAGUUAACGCAAUAAGUACCCCGCCUGGGGAGUACGGUCGCAAGACUGAAACUCAAAGGAAUUGACGGGGUCAUAGCUGUUUCCUG
Molecule: ribosomal RNA, 588 nt
Filed under: uncultured bacterium
Lineage: Bacteria
Description: partial 16S ribosomal RNA
Rfam family: Bacterial small subunit ribosomal RNA
Source: RNAcentral